Molecule: ribosomal RNA, 612 nt
Filed under: Triticum aestivum (bread wheat)
Lineage: Eukaryota; Viridiplantae; Streptophyta; Magnoliopsida; Poales; Poaceae
Description: partial small subunit ribosomal RNA
Source: RNAcentral
GUUCGAAAUUUCUGAUGGAGAGCAUAUGAGGGCAAGAGGAAAAUUCACUGGUUGGCUUGGCCAAAAAAAUUGGCGCAGAAAACUCAGGGCGGAUUGGGCUUCAGGGACUUCAGGGUUUUCAACCAAGCUCUACUCGCCAGACAAGCGUGGCGUUUGCUAACCAAGCCUAAUAGUUUGUGUGCGCAGGUACUAAAGGCUCACUACUAUCCUGAUGGCCGCCCUGAGGACAUAGUGUACUCCGGAAAUGCCUCCCCUACCUGGCAGGCUAUCCAGCAUGGCCUUGAGCUCUUGAAGAAGGGCCUCAUCCGGCGUGUUGGCGAUGGACAACACAUCCGCAUCUGGCGUGAUCGUUGGGUGCCCCGGGAGCCAUUGCGCCAACCCAUCACACAACAAGGCACCUGCCGGCUGAGGAGAGUAGCAGAACUUAUGGACGAUGAAGGGUUCUGGCGCAUGGACCUGCUUCGACACUAUUUCCUCCAGGCGGACAUUGAGGCGAUCACCAGCAUCUGCACAUCGCCUCGCAUCCCCGAUGACAUUAUUGCAUGGGUGCCAGAAAGAGAACGAUAUCUUCACCGUUCGGUCCGCCUACCGCUUCGCCAUGGACGAGCAUGA